GACUGUGUAGCUCAGUGGUUAGUAGCACCAGUCCUAGUAUGCCUGAGGGCCUUUGGUUCAAUCCCCAAUAUGGCCA
Multifurca ochricompacta is the source of this 76-nucleotide non-coding RNA. NCBI's taxonomy places the organism in Eukaryota, Fungi, Basidiomycota, Agaricomycetes, Russulales, Russulaceae. The record is from the annotation of a GenBank genome assembly.